UACGGAGGGUGCAAGCGUUAAUCGGAAUUACUGGGCGUAAAGGGUGCGUAGGCGGAUAUAUAAGUCAGUUGUGAAAUUCCGGGGCUCAACUUCGGAGCUGCAACUGAAACUAUAAAUCUAGAGGAAUGGCGGAGAAAACGGAAUUCCACAUGUAGCGGUGAAAUGCGUAGAUAUGUGGAAGAACACCUGUGGCGAAGGCGGUUUUCUAGCCUACUCCUGACGCUGAGGCACGAAAGCAAGGGGAGCAAACAGG
RNAcentral lists this ribosomal RNA (253 nucleotides) under uncultured bacterium. RNAcentral describes it as "partial 16S ribosomal RNA". It matches the Rfam family "Bacterial small subunit ribosomal RNA", at positions 524 to 776 of the family's 1533-position model. The record is from RNAcentral.